This 429-nucleotide ribosomal RNA is filed under the name uncultured bacterium. RNAcentral's name for it is "bacterial SSU rRNA". It matches the Rfam family "Bacterial small subunit ribosomal RNA", at positions 355 to 775 of the family's 1533-position model. The record is from RNAcentral.
UGGGGAAUUUUGCGCAAUGGGGGAAACCCUGACGCAGCAACGCCGCGUGAGUGAUGAAGGCCUUCGGGUCGUAAAGCUCUGUCAGAGGGGGAGAAGUGCAUGGGCGCUAAUAUCGCUUAUGCUUGACGGUACCCUCAAAGGAAGCACCGGCUAACUCCGUGCCAGCAGCCGCGGUAAUACGGAGGGUGUGAGCGUUGUUCGGAAUUAUUGGGCGUAAAGCGCGUGUAGGCGGUUUUUUAAGUCUGAUGUGAAAGCCCUGGGCUCAACCCGGGAAGUGCAUUGGAAACUGGGAGACUUGAAUACGGGAGAGGGCAGUGGAAUUCCUGGUGUAGGAGUGAAAUCCGUAGAUAUCAGGAGGAACACCGGUGGCGAAGGCGGCUGCCUGGACCGAUAUUGACGCUGAGACGCGAAAGCGUGGGGAGCAAACAG